UUUAACAUCCUACACACACACGCACAUUUAUUACACAACAAAUGAACUCUCAUAAUCGGUCCAAUCUGAAGCCGUAAAUCUGAGUGCAGGUUUUGGAUAAUGCUGUGCGGCUCCUCCAGAAGGUAAGUGUCAAAUCUUUGAUGGGAGAAAAAACUACCUAAAAAUAAAACAAGGAGGAUCUGCAGAGAGGCCGCUCACAACAUGACAAGUUAAUUGUUGCUUUUAAAAGGUUAGCAUGGACACGUAGAUUUAGCUAGAAACCUUUGCAGGUUAAAUCAAAGAAUAUGCUUCAUCUUAAAUAACCAAAUAACCAAAAAUAAAUCUAAAAUAAGAAAUCAGCUCCUGUGCUGUCUUUUUAAAACACUUUAAAGCAUAAACAUAUUAAAGCUCCUGUGAGGACAUUUCAGUUGAUUCGGUUUUGGCGCCCCCUGUGGGUGUCGCAGUCUUUGCGUAACUUGUCAUUUUGACAGUCAAAUAUUUCAUCUAACGUGAAUAUUUUACGUUGAAGUUGUUAAAACGGAUUCGUCUCUAGCUGAUGGCUUACACCUACCUUCUCAUACCAGUUUCGGACCUCAAAAAUUCGGAUCCAAUUAUAUAUGAUUUUUAAUUGUUUUUGUCUAUUUAUAAAUUUCAGUCUAUUUAAAAAAAAAAAACAAAACUGAUAUAUAUUGUCUAAAUAUAUCCAACCAUCAUUACAGAAAGCUUAAAAAUAACGAUUGUUACAACCCAACCAAAUAUAUUAACAAGAAUUUAUAAAUUCAAAUAUAAAAAGACGACAGGAGGAGGAUUUUUGUCACUGAGCAUCACUUUCACCGGGACAAGAUCAAAUCAGCAACAAUAAAAGGGUUUCCACUUUGUCCACAGAGGGCGCCAAACUCAACACAGACAGAAAGUUCCUAACUGGAGCUGUAAUAUCUAUCUAAGAAUCAGGGGAAAUCUCUGUACAAAGGAGACUGGGCAGAAAACUGAGAGUGGAUUUCUGUAAUCUUUGGACUCCUAGGCAGCACAGAUAUUUUUUGGAAAAUACUGAAUGCUGGUGUAGGUUUAGGAGUGGCAUAUGCGGCAAUCUAGACCCAGCUCAUUUCAGAGUAGACCUUCAUAUUUCAGUGAGACAACGCCACAUCACAUCCUGCAAAUAUUACAACAGCAUGGUGGCGUCCUGGUGCUAAACUUCCCGGCCUGCGGUCAACUUCAUCGUCUAAGAACAUUUUGUUGCAUUAUACAGUAACUAUUAGAGAUGAAGUCCUGUAGCAGACAAGAAUCGGACCAUGUUUCACCUUCAGAACUUCAGAAACUGGUCUCCUGUAUUCCCAGAAGUGAGUGGAGGAAGUUUGUGGAAGUGAUGCUACAGGAUAGAAAACAUGUGAGUGAGUAUGGUUCAGUUUAGUCACUCUUUUUUGAUCCCUCCUUUUUUUAGGAUACUAAUAUGAUGUAGUUUAGAUACUAGAGAGUGUCCAGAUCAAGUCCUUUACGUUAAAGACCGUUUCAGCAGUGUGUGGUGACUCUGAAUGACCUUCACCUCCACCUAUCAGGUGUUUCAGAUGUUAAAAAUCACCACUGGUUUGUAUAAAUUUACAAUCUUCACACUGAUGGUCACAUUUGCUUUGACUUCAGUCUGUUUAUGACAUGCCAAAAAAUCACUGACACUGGCUUUAACAUCACAUGUAAACAGUAGAAACAGUAGAAAACAGACGACUUGUUACCUUGGACACAUGAUUAAAAAAGAAUUAUUUAACUCCUGCUCAUGCAAAUAUCCAGAAAGAGUCCAAAAGAGUCCUGAAACUUUAACUGACGUGUUCAGAUCUACUACUUCCCGUACUUUAGCUGGUGAAGGACUUUGUGUUACUUAAGACAGUAAAAGAUGGAAAAGCAGCUGGAGUACCUGACAUACAGUUUAUUGACAUCACAGUAUGUCGUUUCUGGGUAAUUAAUUCCUAAAAAUGUCCAGAAAAAAUAAGAAUUCCCUGUCCCCAGCUUUACAAUAUUUACAGCAGUAUAUGCUUUUUGCAGACACUGAUAGAGAACAUUUCAGAUGCAUUAAGUGCAUUCGCAGAUAUUCAGACAUUCUGUACAUAUACUCUUCACAGAUUUAUAGUCUCCGAGUUUGAGCCCAAUGUCAUCCUUCAGAUUUAUAAAUCUAAAUCAUAAAUACAUUUAAUUUAUGUAUUCACUAAGUUAUGAUUUUAAUUUUCUGCUUUGACUUUACAUAAAAAUAAAAACUAACAUAAAAGUUAGAAGUUUGGAUCUGAUGCAGUAAAAGUUGAUUUUAUCCAGCUCAGAAUUUAAAUGCAAUAAUAAGAUCAGCUGAGUAGCUACAACGUAGUAUUAGGGCCAUGUUAAGAAAAAAAAUUUAAGACUUUGAGAUUAAAGUCGUUAAUUUACCAGACUUAAGAUAUUACUAACAAGUAUAAAGUCCUAAUAAAAUCGUAAUAAAAUUAAGUAGUAAUUAACUAAUUACUUGCAAGAAUAAAGUUGUAAUAAAAUAAUUUCUUACGAGAAUAAUAUCGUAAUAAAGUAAUUACUUAUGAGAAGAAAGUUGUAAUACAAUCAUGACUUGUGCGAAUAACAUCAUGAUAAAGUAAUUAUUUACGUGAAUAUAGUCGUAGUAAAGGAAUUACUCAUGAGAAUAAAGUCGUAAUAAAGUAACAACUUACGAGAAAAAAGUCAUUAUAAAAUUAUCGCUUACAAGAAUAAAGUCGUAAUAAAGAAAUUACUUACGAGAGUAAAGUGGCUAUAAAGUAAUGACAAGAAUAAAGUCAUUACUAUCGAGAAUAAGUUGUAAGUAGUAACAAGUAACAAGUAGUAGUAAGGAGUAAAGUCAUAAUAAAGUAAUAACUAACAAGAACAAAGUCGUCAAAGUAACUACUUUAACUUAACUUUAACUUUAGUUAUUCGCGUUAGUUAUUACUUAUUAUGACUUUAUUCUUGUUAAUAAAUAAUAAAGUCGUAAUAAAAUCAUUACUUAUGGGAGUUAAGUUCACUAACAAGAAUAAAGUCGUCAAAGUAACUACUUUAUUUUGACUUUAUUCUCGUAAGUUAUUACUUUAUUACGACUUAGCGUAGUAAGUAAUGUUUUUAUUACAACUUUAUUCUCGUAAGUAAUUACUUAUUACGACUUUAUUCUUGUUAGUCAUGAUUUCAUCCACUUAAAUCAACGACUUUAAUCUCAAAGUCUUAAUUCUUGUUUUUCUGAAUGUGGCCCUAAUACUCUGUCGUAGGUAUCAGUGCUUUUGUUGCAUCAGAUUGUCUUGACUGGAGUUUCAGCAUCAGAAUAAACCUCGAUGACAGUGUCACAGAUUUAUACCCGAGCGGAUCUGUUUCAGUGCGAGACUCCAUUCUUGCUGCUGAAGUAAUCCCACAGACCUCCAGUCCAGACGAGUCCUCUGCUGAGUCUGACAGUGUUUAUGAAGCUGUGUUUUGUGGUCAGUGUGGUCUCUCACUCGUCCCUGAGGCCUUGUAAAGAUCCUCGCCACAAAGCUGCUCAGACGCACUGCGCCUCGACCACAAUACUCGAACAUACACAUCUGUUGAGCAGCAGCGUGUCUGAGCUCAAAAUUUAUGUUUGCAGCCCGACGGGACAUCAGGAAGAGUGGAUGUCUUACUGGGAGGUUACUCCUCUGAUCGCCGAGGAGAGCUCUUUUAGCUUUUUUGGCCGAGUUUUUCCAUCAUAAAAGCCCAAAUUUAUUCAAAUCCUGUAACUUAAUAAUGGCAAAGUCCCUCAGAGCCAUGCUGAGGAAGCAUUAUUAAUCUCUCAAACACUUUUUCCCAUUAAAAAGAAUCAUUUGAUUUUAAUUGUGCCAUCCAUUAUUAUUCUUUGCAUCCUCCUGAAACAGUGCGAAUGAAACUCCACCAAAGCUAUGAUGAUGAUGUGAAAAUAAAUUCCAGUUAUCGUGCAUAAUCGUCGGAAUUUACUUUUUGAUUAGUGCAACCAAAAGCUUUUCAUUAUCCAAAAAGCAUUUCAGUGACAUAAAGCCUUCAUUUGAAUUCAUUUAAAGCAAUUCAGAGCGGCGUUUUGGUAUCGUGAAUGAGAUUGGAUUGGAAUUUCAAUGAACAUCAAUGCUCUGACCAUUUUGUUUUACUAAACCUUUUUCUUUCCACCACAUUUAUCCCCUCUCUCUCUCUCACACACACACAUGCACACGCGCACACGCACUGCCGGCCCUGUGUCCCGGCGAUGAUGGCUAACACAUGCCGUUUAAACAAUCGCCCCAAUCCCCCCUUAUCUUCAGGAGUUAUGGGCCUAAAUCUACUCAUAAUACACAGCUCACUGAGGGUGUAAUCCCUGAGAACAUCGGAAUAAAUCCAGGCUAUAUCCGCUACAUGCAGACUAGCGGCCAGAGCCAGGGCCAUUAUGAUGCGACUGAGGAAGAGGAGGAGGAGGAGGAGGAGGGUUAGGGAGAGGCACUAAUGGGUCGUCUAUGAAUUCAUAUUAACACCGAGCCAUUAGGACACCUCCAUCCAGGAAAUCCCUCUGACCUCCUGGUACAACAGCUGUCUGAAGUUUAAACUUUAAAACCGACAAUCCCUCCACUGUCACGUCUCUUCCUCUCUUCUCUCUUCUCUCUUCUCUCUCGCCGCUCCUGGAUUGUCCUGAUCUGUCCCAAUCGAAAAAGUCUUAACACAAGAACCCACAGGCGGGGGAAACAGAGCCAACCGGUCACAUUUGGCUGCGAUGAAAGGGGACACAAAAGCAAGGGGAAGGGGAGGGGGGUUGGACAAAUAUGUGACGACAACCGAGAGGGCAGAGUGUCUUUGGCGCAACCUUUCGCAACCUCUGCUCAAAGAAAUAAAAAUAAACUGGAAAAACAAAGCUGGUGGUAUCAAGUUAAUCUCAACUGGGAUUCAAAGUCAACUGUCAGGACACAUGGUUGUCCGCUCCAUGACUCGUGGCGUUUGUAAAACAGUCUGGAGAGCGUGCACGCCGGAGAAAUCCUUGUCGUAUUAAAAAAAAAGUCAAAUGCAAAGAGAGGAGUAAGUGUUUUUUUUAUCAUCUUGAAGCGAAAUUAAGUGACCAGGCAAUCAAAUUAAAAAUGCAAACUUGAGUGUCUCCUUCUCCUUUUCCUUUUCCCUCCUCGCUCCCCUCUCUCUCUCUCUUCUCUCUCACUCCCUCGUUCAGGCCUGAGGAAGCAGCCAAACAACCGUCUUGGGGGUGUGUGUUGGUAAUCGAGGCCCCUGGGCUCCCUGGCUCCUUGGCUCCUUGGCUGGACAACAGUUUCCUGGCCUGAAGGGGUCAGCGGUGGGCUGUCUGAGAAACUGGCAGCCAUGGGGGUUCCAGAGGGGAUGUUUUUCAGGAGGGUUUGGAGGAGGUGUGGG
Molecule: long non-coding RNA, 5313 nt
Filed under: Xyrichtys novacula (pearly razorfish)
Lineage: Eukaryota; Metazoa; Chordata; Actinopteri; Labriformes; Labridae
Source: RNAcentral